Molecule: ribosomal RNA, 253 nt
Filed under: uncultured bacterium
Lineage: Bacteria
Description: partial 16S ribosomal RNA
Rfam family: Bacterial small subunit ribosomal RNA
Source: RNAcentral
UACGUAGGGGGCAAGCGUUGUCCGGAAUCAUUGGGCGUAAAGCGCGCGUAGGCGGCCCUGUAAGUCCGUUGUGAAAUCUCGAGGCUCAACUUCGAGCUGUCGGUGGAAACUGUCUGGCUAGAGUCCGGAAGAGGAGAAUGGAAUUCCUGGUGUAGCGGUGAAAUGCGCAGAUAUCAGGAAGAACACCCGUGGCGAAGGCGGUUCUCUGGGACGGUACUGACGCUGAGACGCGAAAGCGUGGGGAGCGAACAGG